This 604-nucleotide long non-coding RNA is filed under the name Citrus sinensis (sweet orange). RNAcentral describes it as "long non-coding RNA (CSIN_LNC003199)". The record is from RNAcentral. Lineage: Eukaryota; Viridiplantae; Streptophyta; Magnoliopsida; Sapindales; Rutaceae.
UUCAACUCACAACAAAAAAAGUGGUCCUAAUCAAUUGAUAGUUCGAUACCCACCUCGCUGCUUAUCCUACACACGCCUUAGGUCCGUUCUCUCUUAUCCUACGCACUCCCUUCCCUUUCUUUUCCUAAUAAAAACAAACAAACAAAGGCCCACGAAAACAGAAAUAUUGAAAUUGAAAUUGAAUCCCAUAAUUCAUAAGUUGAAACUAAAAAGAUUUCAAGAACCCCAAGAGGAGGAAGAAAAAGAAAAAGCCAAACAUGUCAAGUGCAGCCACUUGGAGCAGAGAAGAGGAUAAAGCUUUUGAGAAUGCGAUUGCAAUGCAUUGCAUUGAGGAGGAUGACUCAAAAGAAGAACAACAACAACAAUGGCAAAAGAUUGCUUCAAUGGUUCCUUCUAGAAGUGUUGAAGAACUGAAGCAGCACUACCAAAUUUUAUUAGAGGAUGUAAAUGCAAUAGAGGCUGGUAACAUACCAUUACCUAAUUAUGUAGGAGAGGAUCGUGCAACAUCUUCAACUAAGGACUUUCAUGGCCCCUCCACGGCCGCGGAUAACAGAUCAAAUGGUGUUUAUGGAAGUGGGUUUUCAGGGUUGAGUCAUGACCCAAG